UUUGCCUACGGGGCGCAGCAGUAGGGAAUCUUCCACAAUGGGCGAAAGCCUGAUGGAGCAACGCCGCGUGGGUGAAGAAGGUCUUCGGAUCGUAAAACCCUGUUGUUAGAGAGGAAAGCGCGUGAGAGUAACUGUUCACAUUUCGACGGUAUCUAACCAGAAAGCCACAGCUAACUACGUGCCAGCAGCCGCGGUAAUACGUAGGUGGCAAGCGUUAUCCGGAUUUAUUGGGCGUAAAGGGAACGCAGGCGGUCUUUUAAGUCUGAUGUGCAAGCCUUCGGCUUAACCGGAGUAGUGCAUUGGAA
RNAcentral lists this ribosomal RNA (305 nucleotides) under uncultured bacterium. RNAcentral's name for it is "bacterial SSU rRNA". It matches the Rfam family "Bacterial small subunit ribosomal RNA", at positions 334 to 631 of the family's 1533-position model. The record is from RNAcentral.